This 468-nucleotide ribosomal RNA is filed under the name uncultured bacterium. Its description in RNAcentral is "bacterial SSU rRNA". It matches the Rfam family "Bacterial small subunit ribosomal RNA", at positions 29 to 506 of the family's 1533-position model. The record is from RNAcentral.
AUUAACGCUAGCUGUGCGCCUAACACAUGCAAGUCGUGCGAGAGUACCUAGAUAGCUUGCUAUAGAGGUAUGAAAGCGGCAAACGGGUGAGUAACACGUUGAUAAUCUGCCCUUCACUCAGGGAUAAGCCACCGAAAGGUGGUCUAAUACCGGAUGGCCCAUAUAGCUGAAAUGCAGUAUGGUAAAGCUUCGGCGGUGAUGGAGGAAUCUGCGUCCUAUCAGCUUGUUGGCGGGGUAAAAGCCCACCAAGGCUAUGACGGGUAGCUGGUCUGAGAGGAUGGCCAGCCACAAUGGGACUGAGACACGGCCCAUACUCCUACGGGAGGCAGCAGUGAGGAAUUUUCCGCAAUGGCCUAACGGCUGACGGAGCGACACAGCGUGAAGGAUGAAGGGUCUAGGCUCGUAAACUUCUUUUCUGAAGGAAUAAGGUCUGAAGUUACUUCAGGAAUAAGCAACGGCUAACUACGU